This 492-nucleotide ribosomal RNA is filed under the name uncultured bacterium. Its description in RNAcentral is "partial 16S ribosomal RNA". It matches the Rfam family "Bacterial small subunit ribosomal RNA", at positions 29 to 507 of the family's 1533-position model. The record is from RNAcentral.
AGUGAACGCUGGCGGUAGGCCUAACACAUGCAAGUCGAACGGCAGCACAGUAAGAGCUUGCUCUUACGGGUGGCGAGUGGCGGACGGGUGAGGAAUACAUCGGAAUCUACUUUUUCGUGGGGGAUAACGGAGGGAAACUUACGCUAAUACCGCAUACGACCUACGGGUGAAAGCAGGGGAGCUUCGGACCUUGCGCGAUUGAAUGAGACGAUGUCGGAUUAGCUAGUUGGCGGGGUAAAGGCCCACCAAGGCGACGAUCCGUAGCUGGUCUGAGAGGAUGAUCAGCCACACUGGAACUGAGACACGGUCCAGACUCCUACGGGAGGCAGCAGUGGGGAAUAUUGGACAAUGGGCGCAAGCCUGAUCCAGCCAUACCGCGUGGGUGAAGAAGGCCUUCGGGUUGUAAAGCCCUUUUGUUGGGAAAGAACAGCAGCAGGUUAAUCCCCCGCUGUUCUGACGGUACCCAAAGAAUAAGCACCGGCUAACUUCGUG